This 66-nucleotide transfer RNA is filed under the name Tasgius compressus. RNAcentral's name for it is "tRNA-Ser". RNAcentral also lists the same sequence under 1 other name. The record is from RNAcentral. Lineage: Eukaryota; Metazoa; Arthropoda; Insecta; Coleoptera; Staphylinidae.
GAAAUAGGUAAUUCAGGGGUAAGCUUCUAACUUAACCCCUUAGCGUUGAAAUAUGUUAUUAUUUCU